This 72-nucleotide transfer RNA is filed under the name Ictidomys tridecemlineatus (thirteen-lined ground squirrel). Its description in RNAcentral is "Spermophilus tridecemlineatus (thirteen-lined ground squirrel) tRNA". It matches the Rfam family "tRNA". From Rfam's summary of the family: Transfer RNA (tRNA) molecules are approximately 80 nucleotides in length. Their secondary structure includes four short double-helical elements and three loops (D, anti-codon, and T loops). Lineage: Eukaryota; Metazoa; Chordata; Mammalia; Rodentia; Sciuridae. The record is from Rfam by way of RNAcentral.
GGGGAUAUAGCUCAGUGGUAGAGUACUUGCCUUGCAUGCACAAGACCCUGGGUUCGAUUCCCAGCACCACCA